CCUACGGGUGGCAGCAGUAGGGAAUUUUCGUCAAUGGGCGCAAGCCUGAACGAGCGAUGCCGCGUGAGUGAAGAAGGCCUUCGGGUCGUAAAGCUCUGUUGCGGGGGAAAAAAGGCAGCAUCAGGAAAUGGGUGCUGACUGAUGGUGCCCCGCCAGAAAGUCACGGCUAACUACGUGCCAGCAGCCGCGGUAAUACGUAGGUGGCGAGCGUUAUCCGGAUUUAUUGGGCGUAAAGCGAGCGCAGGCGGUUGCUUAGGUCUGAUGUGAAAGCCUUCGGCUUAACCGAAGAAGUGCAUCGGAAACCGGGCGACUUGAGUGCAGAAGAGGACAGUGGAACUCCAUGUGUAGCGGUGGAAUGCGUAGAUAUAUGGAAGAACACCAGUGGCGAAGGCGGCUGUCUGGUCUGCAACUGACGCUGAGGCUCGAAAGCAUGGGUAGCGAACAGGAUUAGAUACCCCUGUAGUC
This 465-nucleotide ribosomal RNA is filed under the name uncultured bacterium. RNAcentral's name for it is "partial 16S ribosomal RNA". It matches the Rfam family "Bacterial small subunit ribosomal RNA", at positions 338 to 795 of the family's 1533-position model. The record is from RNAcentral.